RNAcentral lists this ribosomal RNA (507 nucleotides) under uncultured bacterium. RNAcentral describes it as "partial 16S ribosomal RNA". It matches the Rfam family "Bacterial small subunit ribosomal RNA", at positions 28 to 506 of the family's 1533-position model. The record is from RNAcentral.
GACGAACGCUGGCGGCGUGCCUAAUACAUGCAAGUCGAACGCUUCUUUCCUCCCGAGUGCUUGCCCUCAAUUGGAAAGAGGAGUGGCGGACGGGUGAGUAACACGUGGGUAACCUACCCAUCAGAGGGGGAUAACACUUGGAAACAGGUGCUAAUACCGCAUAACAGUUUAUGCCGCAUGGCAUAAGAGUGAAAGGCGCUUUCGGGUGUCGCUGAUGGAUGGACCCGCGGUGCAUUAGCUAGUUGGUGAGGUAACGGCUCACCAAGGCCACGAUGCAUAGCCGACCUGAGAGGGUGAUCGGCCACACUGGGACUGAGACACGGCCCAGACUCCUAUGGGAGGCAGCAGUAGGGAAUCUUCGGCAAUGGACGAAAGUCUGACCGAGCAACGCCGCGUGAGUGAAGAAGGUUUGCGGAUCGUAAAACUCUGUUGUUAGAGAAGAACAAGGACGUUAGUAACUGAACGUCCCCUGACGGUAUCUAACCAGAAAGCCACGGCUAACUACGU